This 162-nucleotide small RNA is filed under the name Solirubrobacterales bacterium. RNAcentral's name for it is "c-di-AMP sequence". It matches the Rfam family "c-di-AMP riboswitch aptamer (ydaO/yuaA leader)". From Rfam's summary of the family: This family represents a conserved RNA structure found upstream of the ydaO and yuaA genes in Bacillus subtilis and related genes in other bacteria. The ydaO/yuaA element is thought to act as a genetic "off" switch for the ydaO and yuaA genes in its native state. It is believed that the element may be triggered during osmotic shock leading to activation of ydaO, a predicted amino acid transporter gene, and members of the yuaA-yubG operon which code for KtrA and KtrB K+ transporters. The record is from RNAcentral. Lineage: Bacteria; Bacillati; Actinomycetota; Thermoleophilia; Solirubrobacterales.
CAGACACAUACGCCUAAUCCGUCACCGAGGUGACGGAGCGGGGGAACCAUUGGCAACCGGUGUAAACCGGUCGCCGGGGGCGAAUCGGACCACCUGGCCCGUAGCGCCGCUUCUUCAGCGCGAGCCCGUCAGCUAACCCCGCAGGCAUGACGAAGAAGGAGG